UCGAACGGGCUAGUGCUUCGCACUAGUCUCUUUCUGGGGUUGUUACUCUAAGACUGCCUGCUGAAGUUAUUGCUUAAAGCAGCGGUUUAGGGGAAUUUCCCCUAAAGGGGCCAGUGCGGAGCACUGGCCAGUGGCGAACGGGUGAGUAACACGUGGGUAAUCUACCCUCGAGUGGGGAAUAAGCUUCCGAAAGGAGGUCUAAUGCCGCAUAACGUUUCAUAACGAUGGUUAUGAAACCAAAGCCCAAAAGGCGCUUGAGGAGGAGCCUGCGUCCUAUCAGCUUGUUGGCAGGGUAAUGGCCUACCAAGGCUAUGACGGGUAGCCGGCCUGAGAGGGUGUCCGGCCACACUGGAACUGAGACACGGUCCAGACUCCUACGGGAGGCAGCAGUGGGGAAUUUUGCGCAAUGGGGGAAACCCUGACGCAGCGGCGCCGCGUGGAGGAUGACGGCCUUCGGGUUGUAAACUCCUGUCAGAAGGGACGAAAUCCCGCAAGGGACUGACGGUACCUUCAGAGGAAGCCCCGGCUAACUACGUG
RNAcentral lists this ribosomal RNA (537 nucleotides) under uncultured bacterium. RNAcentral's name for it is "bacterial SSU rRNA". It matches the Rfam family "Bacterial small subunit ribosomal RNA", at positions 62 to 507 of the family's 1533-position model. The record is from RNAcentral.